AAGGGGCUUCGGUCCUGAGUAGAGUGGCGAACGGGUGAGUAACACGUGGGUGAUCUACCUUCGAGUGGGGGAUAACGUCCCGAAAGGGACGCUAAUACCGCAUGACGUUCUGGGUUUAAAGACCUGGAAACCAAAGCCGGGGACCGCAAGGCCUGGCGCUUGAAGAGGAGCCCGCGUCCGAUUAGCUAGUUGGCGGGGUAAUGGCCCACCAAGGCGACGAUCGGUAGCCGGCCUGAGAGGGCGGACGGCCACACUGGAACUGAGACACGGUCCAGACUCCUACGGGAGGCAGCAGUGGGGAAUUGUUCACAAUGGGCGCAAGCCUGAUGACGCAACGCCGCGUGGGGGAUGAAGGUCUUCGGA
This 363-nucleotide ribosomal RNA is filed under the name uncultured bacterium. RNAcentral's name for it is "bacterial SSU rRNA". It matches the Rfam family "Bacterial small subunit ribosomal RNA", at positions 72 to 422 of the family's 1533-position model. The record is from RNAcentral.